GACUGGUGUUUCACGCAACAACC
Molecule: non-coding RNA, 23 nt
Filed under: Arabidopsis thaliana (thale cress)
Lineage: Eukaryota; Viridiplantae; Streptophyta; Magnoliopsida; Brassicales; Brassicaceae
Source: RNAcentral